RNAcentral lists this ribosomal RNA (438 nucleotides) under uncultured bacterium. Its description in RNAcentral is "partial 16S ribosomal RNA". It matches the Rfam family "Bacterial small subunit ribosomal RNA", at positions 339 to 795 of the family's 1533-position model. The record is from RNAcentral.
CUACGGGCGGCACCAGUAGGGAAUCUUAGACAAUGGGGGAAACCCUGAUCUAGCCAUGCCGCGUGAGUGAUGAAGGCCUUAGGGUUGUAAAGCUCUUUCGCUGGGGAAGAUAAUGACGGUACCCAGUAAAGAAACCCCGGCUAACUCCGUGCCAGCAGCCGCGGUAAUAGGGAGGGGGUUAGCGUUGUUCGGAUUUCUGGGCGUAAAGCGCGCGUAGGCGGGCUAUUAAGUCAGGGGUGAAAUCCCGGGGCUCAACCCCGGAACUGCCUUUGAUACUGGUAGUCUUGAGUUCGAGAGAGGUGAGUGGAAUUCCGAGUGUAGAGGUGAAAUUCGUAGAUAUUCGGAGGAACAUCAGUGGCGAAGGCGACUCACUGGCUCGAUACUGACGCUGAGGUGCGAAAGUGUGGGGAGCAAACAGGAUUAGAUACCCUAGUAGUC